Molecule: long non-coding RNA, 1228 nt
Organism: Trichomycterus rosablanca
Lineage: Eukaryota; Metazoa; Chordata; Actinopteri; Siluriformes; Trichomycteridae
Exons: 4
Source: RefSeq, a predicted model, not a curated record
AAAUCACACUCAGCACUUGGACCUGAUCCCCACGUGUGAGAACUGCUGUGUUUGUCCACUGCCAGGUUACAAAACAACGCAACAAAAUGGCCAGAUUUAAAAAGGGAAGGAAAAAUGCAAGAAAAGAUGUGUGGAUGGAUGCAGGAGGCCUCAAAGCUCUAAUCUCCAAAUUGCAGGCUGGGGACAUUUUAAAUAAAGAUCAGUCGUACUCCUCUGCAGUAUGGCCAGCACUGUCGAUUGCUGUUUUUGGGCAGAAUACAAAAAACAAUCGGCACUGGUUGUGGACAAUAUGGACAAAAAACCGGAGAUGUUUAAGAGAUCAUUUAAAUAUACAGAUGGAUUCAGACAUGCCAGUGAGAGACACAGAGCCACUCGGACCAGUUAGUAAGAAAGUAGGACGGGAGCCACACACGCUAAGACAUGGGACUCGGUGCCUGCAGCCAGGGGAUGAUGCAGAGGAUCAAGGCACAUCUAAGAGUAAGGCAGAGGGUCCAGAUGAGGACAGAGCUGAGAGAGAUCCAUAUCAAGGAACACCAGAGAGUGAAACUGAGGGUCCAGAUCAAGGUCCAUGAGGUGAAAUGGAACCUGGGAGUUUACAAAGCACAAGAAAAUAAUUAAUGUGGGCCUAUAGGCUGUAUUUUGACUGAAAGGUUUUAACUCUCCUUUUGUUGCAAAAGAAUUGGACACUAUGAGCAGAUACAAGAAAGGCAAAAAAAUAAUAAUUACCAGAAAAGAUGUGUGGACAGCAGCAGGAGGCAUGAAAGCUGUCGUCACCCAACGGCAGGCAGCGGAUAUUUAAAACCCGAGACCAAUCGUACUCCUCUGCAGUAUGGUCAGAACUGGCUAUAACUUUGUUUGGACACAAUACAAAAAACAACCGUCACUGGUUGUGGACUGUUUGGACGUACAAUCGCAGAUGUGUAAGGGACCAGUUUAUUAUGGAGAUGGAGUCAGGACCUCAACAGCUACAGGCUGGUGGCACUGACGUCACAUCUGAUGAAGAUGCUGGAGAGGCUGGUCCUUACACAUCUCCGCCCUCUGGUGAGCCCAGCAAUGGAUCCUCUUCAGUUUGCCUCACCAACCAAGUACAGUAUGUGAGGGCAUAAUAAUGGGCAAAAACUUCACCUGCAAAACUGCAACAAUUAGUGUCAUUAUUUCCCAAAAAAGUCUAAUUAGUAAAUAAAGCAAUGUAAAACAGCAUUGUCAGUUAAAUAAAGAUUCAAGAGAA